CCUACGGUGGCAGCAGGCGCGAAAACUUUACAAUGCUGGCAACAGCGAUAAGGGGACCUCGAGUGCCAGGUUACAAAUCUGGCUGUCGUGAUGCCUAAAAAGCAUUGCAUAGCAAGGGCCGGGCAAGACCGGUGCCAGCCGCCGCGGUAACACCGGCGGCUCGAGUGGUAACCGUUAUUAUUGGGUCUAAAGGGUCUGUAGCCGGCCGGAUAAGUCUCUUGGGAAAUCUGGCAGCUUAACGGUCAGGCUUUCAGGAGAUACUGUCGGGCUCGAGGCCGGGAGAGGUGAGAGGUACUUCAGGGGUAGGGGUGAAAUCUUGUAAUCCUUGAAGGACCACCAGUGGCGAAGGCGUCUCACCAGAACGGACCUGACGGCAAGGGACGAAAGCUAGGGGCACGAACC
RNAcentral lists this ribosomal RNA (402 nucleotides) under uncultured prokaryote. RNAcentral describes it as "bacterial SSU rRNA". It matches the Rfam family "Archaeal small subunit ribosomal RNA", at positions 322 to 725 of the family's 1478-position model. The record is from RNAcentral.